CAAGACAGGUGGUGCAUGGUUGUCGUCAGCUCGUGUCGUGAGAUGUUGGGUUAAGUCCCGCAACGAGCGCAACCCUUAUCUUCAGUAGCCAGCAGGUAAAGCCGGGCACUCUGGAGAGACUGCCGGGGAUAACCCGGAGGAAGGUGGGGAUGACGUCAAAUCAUCAUGCCCCUUAUGAUUUGGGCUACACACGUGCUACAAUGGCGUAAACAGAGGGAAGCGAGCCCGCGAGGGGGAGCAAAUCCCAAAAAUAACGUCCCAGUUCGGAUUGUAGUCUGCAACCCGACUACAUGAAGCUGGAAUCGCUAGUAAUCGCGGAUCAGAAUGCCGCGGUGAAUACGUUCCCGGGUCUUGUACACACCGCCCGUCACACCAUGGGAGUCGGAAAUGCCCGAAGUCUGUGACCUAACCGUAAGGGAGAAGCAGCCGAAGGCAGGUCGGAUGACUGGGGUGAAGUCGUAACAAGGUAGCCGUAUCGGAAGGUGCGGCUGGAUCACCUC
RNAcentral lists this ribosomal RNA (500 nucleotides) under uncultured bacterium. RNAcentral's name for it is "bacterial SSU rRNA". It matches the Rfam family "Bacterial small subunit ribosomal RNA", at positions 1030 to 1529 of the family's 1533-position model. The record is from RNAcentral.